CCUGGCGACAAUAGCCGUUUGGCACCACCUGAUCCCAUCUCGAACUCAGAAGUGAAACAUUCGCGCGCCGAUGAUAGUGUGGGGUCUCCCCAUGUGAAAGUAGGUCAUUGCCAGGA
Molecule: ribosomal RNA, 116 nt
Filed under: Legionella sp.
Lineage: Bacteria; Pseudomonadati; Pseudomonadota; Gammaproteobacteria; Legionellales; Legionellaceae
Also listed under: 1 other name
Source: RNAcentral